Molecule: long non-coding RNA, 284 nt
Filed under: Elaeis guineensis (African oil palm)
Lineage: Eukaryota; Viridiplantae; Streptophyta; Magnoliopsida; Arecales; Arecaceae
Description: long non-coding RNA (EGUI_LNC039682)
Source: RNAcentral
GAGACUCUAGAAGGGGAUGCCAUUCUCCGGACAUGGAAUACCGACAACCUGAAGUUGUACUACCAAUGAACUUUGUAUCCCCUCACUCGGAAUACCAAACUCAGUUUCAAAACUUCGGAGUCCGAGAUCUUGACUCUUCGACUGUGAGUCGGUGCUCGUCGGGAAUACAAGCUUCGGCGCCCCGACUUGGGCCCAACGUUCCAUUGAGAAUCGACGGCCCGAUCACCGAUGAUGCAUCGGACGCUUGAAAAGGACCGAUACAUCCACGACGAUGGGAGUUACAC